Molecule: ribosomal RNA, 497 nt
Filed under: uncultured bacterium
Lineage: Bacteria
Description: partial 16S ribosomal RNA
Rfam family: Bacterial small subunit ribosomal RNA
Source: RNAcentral
GACGAACGCUGGCGGCGUGCCUAAUACGUGCAAGUCGAGCGCUCAAGUGUGGUACUUGUACCAAUGGGAUUAGCAGCGGACGGGUGAGUAACGCGUGGGUAACCUGCCUUUGAGCGUGGGACAACAUCUGGAAACGAAUGCUAAUACCGCAUAAAAACUUUAAACACAUGUUUUAAGAUUGAAAGAUGCAAUUGCAUCACUCAAAGAUGAGACCGCGUUGGAUUAGCUAGUUGGUGAGGGAAAGGCCCACCCAGGCGAUGAUAGAUAGCCGACCUGAGAGGGUGGUCGGGCACAAUGGGACUGGAGAAAGGCCCAAACUUCUUAGGGAAGCAGGAGGAGGGAAUUUUCGGCAAUGGAGGAAAGGCUGGACGAGGAAAGGCGGGUGGGUGGAUGAAGUUUUCCGAUUGGUAAACUUUGUUGAUAGAGAAGGAAGAUGGGGAGAGUGAACAGCGCACGAAGUGACGGUAACUACCCAGAAAGCGACGGCUAACUACGUG